This 503-nucleotide ribosomal RNA is filed under the name uncultured crenarchaeote. RNAcentral's name for it is "bacterial SSU rRNA". It matches the Rfam family "Archaeal small subunit ribosomal RNA", at positions 368 to 874 of the family's 1478-position model. The record is from RNAcentral. Lineage: Archaea; Thermoproteati; Thermoproteota.
CGACAGGUUAUCCGAGUGAUUUGUGCUAAACGAAUCUUUUGUUAGUCCUAGAAACACUAACGAAUAAGGGGUGGGCAAGUUCUGGUGUCAGCCGCCGCGGUAAAACCAGCACCUCAAGUGGUCAGGAUGAUUAUUGGGCCUAAAGCAUCCGUAGCCGGCUCUGUAAGUUUUCGGUUAAAUCUGUACGCUCAACGUACAGGCUGCCGGGAAUACUGCAGAGCUAGGGAGUGGGAGAGGUAGACGGUACUCGGUAGGAAGGGGUAAAAUCCUUUGAUCUAUUGAUGACCACCUGUGGCGAAGGCGGUCUACCAGAACACGUCCGACGGUGAGGGAUGAAAGCUGGGGGAGCAAACCGGAUUAGAUACCCGGGUAGUCCCAGCUGUAAACUAUGCAAACUCAGUGAUGCAUUGACUUGUGGUCAAUGCAGUGCUGCAGGGAAGCCGUUAAGUUUGCCGCCUGGGAAGUACGUACGCAAGUAUGAAACUUAAAGGAAUUGGCGGGAA